UCCCCCUCGACUACACUCUGAAGUCAGCUUUUUUUCCCGGUAGCUGCUUUCAAUUUUUGCUUCGAGGAAGAUAAAUGUGCCCCUUACUCACCAUGAUGUAUUGCGUAUUGAACGCUCCAUUGCAUCUAUGGUCCAUAUCCUCGGGCUACAU
This 151-nucleotide small nucleolar RNA is filed under the name Thielaviopsis punctulata. RNAcentral's name for it is "Ceratocystis radicicola Small nucleolar RNA snR80". It matches the Rfam family "Small nucleolar RNA snR80". Lineage: Eukaryota; Fungi; Ascomycota; Sordariomycetes; Microascales; Ceratocystidaceae. The record is from Rfam by way of RNAcentral.